UACGUAGGGCGCAAGCGUUAUCCGGAAUUAUUGGGCGUAAAGAGCUCGUAGGCGGUUUGUCGCGUCUGCCGUGAAAGUCCGGGGCUCAACUCCGGAUCUGCGGUGGGUACGGGCAGACUAGAGUGAUGUAGGGGAGACUGGAAUUCCUGGUGUAGCGGUGAAAUGCGCAGAUAUCGGGAGGAACACCGGUGGCGAAGGCGGCGACCUGGGACAAUACUGACACUGAGGAGCGAAAGCGUGGGGAGCGAACAGG
RNAcentral lists this ribosomal RNA (253 nucleotides) under uncultured bacterium. RNAcentral describes it as "partial 16S ribosomal RNA". It matches the Rfam family "Bacterial small subunit ribosomal RNA", at positions 524 to 776 of the family's 1533-position model. The record is from RNAcentral.